This 1085-nucleotide ribosomal RNA is filed under the name Staphylococcus pseudintermedius. Its description in RNAcentral is "bacterial SSU rRNA". It matches the Rfam family "Bacterial small subunit ribosomal RNA", at positions 1 to 1058 of the family's 1533-position model. The record is from RNAcentral. Lineage: Bacteria; Bacillati; Bacillota; Bacilli; Caryophanales; Staphylococcaceae.
UUUAUGGAGAGUUUGAUCCUGGCUCAGGAUGAACGCUGGCGGCGUGCCUAAUACAUGCAAGUCGAGCGAACAGAUAAGGAGCUUGCUCCUUUGACGUUAGCGGCGGACGGGUGAGUAACACGUGGGUAACCUACCUAUAAGACUGGAAUAACUCCGGGAAACCGGGGCUAAUGCCGGAUAACAUGUUGAACCGCAUGGUUCUACAGUGAAAGACGGUCUUGCUGUCACUUAUAGAUGGACCCGCGCCGUAUUAGCUAGUUGGUGGGGUAACGGCCUACCAAGGCGACGAUACGUAGCCGACCUGAGAGGGUGAUCGGCCACACUGGAACUGAGACACGGUCCAGACUCCUACGGGAGGCAGCAGUAGGGAAUCUUCCGCAAUGGGCGAAAGCCUGACGGAGCAACGCCGCGUGAGUGAUGAAGGUCUUCGGAUCGUAAAGCUCUGUUGUUAGGGAAGAACAAAUGUGUAAGUAACUGUGCACAUCUUGACGGUACCUAACCAGAAAGCCACGGCUAACUACGUGCCAGCAGCCGCGGUAAUACGUAGGUGGCAAGCGUUAUCCGGAAUUAUUGGGCGUAAAGCGCGCGCGUAGGCGGUUUUUUAAGUCUGAUGUGAAAGCCCACGGCUCAACCGUGGAGGGUCAUUGGAAACUGGAAAACUUGAGUGCAGAAGAGGAAAGUGGAAUUCCAUGUGUAGCGGUGAAAUGCGCAGAGAUAUGGAGGAACACCAGUGGCGAAGGCGGCUUUCUGGUCUGCAACUGACGCUGAUGUGCGAAAGCGUGGGGAUCAAACAGGAUUAGAUACCCUGGUAGUCCACGCCGUAAACGAUGAGUGCUAAGUGUUAGGGGGUUUCCGCCCCUUAGUGCUGCAGCUAACGCAUUAAGCACUCCGCCUGGGGAGUACGGUCGCAAGACUGAAACUCAAAGGAAUUGACGGGGACCCGCACAAGCGGUGGAGCAUGUGGUUUAAUUCCGAAGCUAACGCCAAGAACCCUUACCAAAUCUUGACAUCCUUUGACCGCUCUAGAGAUAGAGUUUUCCUCUUCUCGGAGGACAAAGUGACAGGUGGUGCAUGGUUGUCGUCAG